Molecule: ribosomal RNA, 253 nt
Filed under: uncultured bacterium
Lineage: Bacteria
Description: partial 16S ribosomal RNA
Rfam family: Bacterial small subunit ribosomal RNA
Source: RNAcentral
UACAGAGGUGCCGAGCGUUAGGCGGAAUCACUGGGCUUAAAGCGUGUGUAGGCGGAUGGGUAAGUACCUUGUGAAAUCCCACGGCUCAACCGUGGAACUGCUCGGUAUACUGCUCGUCUUGAGCCAACUAGGGGCGACCGGAACAAACGGUGGAGCGGUGAAAUGCGUAGAUAUCGGGUGGAACGCCGAUGGUGAAAACAGGUCGCUGGGGUUGUGCUGACGCUGAGACACGAAAGCCAGGGGAGCGAACGGG